GAAUAAAGCUGGGGGCGCCGUGGAGCGGCUGAGAGUCCCGGUAAACUAUCGGGACAACCCUUUGAACCUGAUUUGGGUAAUACCAACGUAGGAAAGCGAGCCUGAGCUUAU
RNAcentral lists this non-coding RNA (111 nucleotides) under Chloroflexota bacterium. Its description in RNAcentral is "Chloroflexi bacterium TPP sequence". It matches the Rfam family "TPP riboswitch aptamer (THI element)". From Rfam's summary of the family: Vitamin B(1) in its active form thiamin pyrophosphate (TPP) is an essential coenzyme that is synthesised by coupling of pyrimidine and thiazole moieties in bacteria. The previously detected thiamin-regulatory element, thi box was extended, resulting in a new, highly conserved RNA secondary structure, the THI element, which is widely distributed in eubacteria and also occurs in some archaea. Analysis of operon structures identified a large number of new candidate thiamin-regulated genes, mostly transporters, in various prokaryotic organisms. Lineage: Bacteria; Bacillati; Chloroflexota. The record is from RNAcentral.